GGGGAUGUAGCUCAGCAGUACAGAGCCUGCCUGGUAAGUGCAAGGCCCUGAGUUCAAUUCCUGGUACCCCCC
RNAcentral lists this transfer RNA (72 nucleotides) under Heterocephalus glaber (naked mole-rat). It matches the Rfam family "tRNA". Rfam says of the family: Transfer RNA (tRNA) molecules are approximately 80 nucleotides in length. The record is from Rfam by way of RNAcentral. Lineage: Eukaryota; Metazoa; Chordata; Mammalia; Rodentia; Bathyergidae.